CCUACGGGUGGCAGCAGUGAGGAAUAUUGGUCAAUGGGCGCGAGCCUGAACCAGCCAAGUCGCGUGAAGGAUGACUGCCCUACGGGUUGUAAACUUCUUUUAUAAGGGAAUAAAGUCAGGCACGCGUGCCUUUCUGUAUGUACCUUACGAAUAAGGAUCGGCUAACUCCGUGCCAGCAGCCGCGGUAAUACGGAGGAUCCGAGCGUUAUCCGGAUUUAUUGGGUUUAAAGGGUGCGUAGGUGGGUUGUUAAGUCAGUUGUGAAAGUUCGCGGCUCAACCGCGGAAUUGCAGUUGAUACUGGCAGUCUUGAGUAGAGUUGAGGUAGGCGGAAUGCGUGGUGUAGCGGUGAAAUGCUUAGAUAUCACGCAGAACUCCGAUUGCGAAGGCAGCUUACUAACCUGCCACUGACGUUGAGGCACGAAAGUGUGGGGAUCAAACAGGAUUAGAUACCCUGGUAGUC
This 460-nucleotide ribosomal RNA is filed under the name uncultured bacterium. RNAcentral's name for it is "partial 16S ribosomal RNA". It matches the Rfam family "Bacterial small subunit ribosomal RNA", at positions 338 to 795 of the family's 1533-position model. The record is from RNAcentral.